GGGGGAUAAGCUUCAUUGCCAAGAGGGAAACAGCCCAGAUCACCAUUUAAGGCCCCUAAAUAAUUGCUAAGUGAAAAAGGAUGUAAUCAUACAUAGACAACCAGGAGGUUUGCUUAGAAGCAGCAAUCCUUUAAAAAGUGCGUAAUAGCUUACUGGUCAAGUGUUUUUGCGCCGAAAAUGAACGGGACUAAGCAAUUUGCCGAAGAUGUGAGAUUCUUUAUAAGAAUCGGUAGAAGAGCGUUCUGUAUUAGUUAGAAGCAAUAGUGAAAACAGUUGUGGACUAAUCAGAAGUGAGAAUGUCGGCUUAAGUAACGAAAAUGUUGGUGAGAAUCCAAUACCCCGAAAACCUAAGGGUUCCUUCGCAAGGUUCGUCCGCGAAGGGUUAGUCAGGUCCUAAAACGAGGUUUAAAAACGUAGUUGAUGGCAAACAGGUUAAUAUUCCUGUACUACUUUUUGUUAGAUUUAGAGUGACGAAGCUGGCUAAAUCAGCCAAAGACUGGUUGUUUUGGUUUAAUCUUUUAAGGUGUAGAGAAAUAUUAUAAUAAAAAAUAUUUUGAGCUGAGAAGAGAGUACGAGAGAUAUUACGGUAUUACAAGUGAUUGAUGUCAUACUUCCAAGAAAACUCUUAAAAUUACUGGAAAAAGUACCUGUACCACAAACUGACACAGGUAGGUAGGUAGAAAAUACUAAGGGGCGCGAGAUAACUCUUUCUAAGGAACUCGGCAAAAUAAUUCUGUAACUUCGGAAGAAAGAAUGCCUCUCGUUACAACAGUGAUUGAGAGGUCGCAGUAAUAAGACCCAGGCGACUGUUUACCAAAAACACAGGUCUCCGCUAAGUUGAAAAACGAUGUAUGGGGGCUGACGCCUGCCCAGUGCCGGAAGGUUAAAGAAGUUGGUUAGUGUUUGCGAAGCUGAUGACUGAAGCCCUGGUGAACGGCGGCCGUAACUAUAACGGUCCUAAGGUAGCGAAAUUCCUUGUCAGGUAAGUUCUGACCCGCACGAAAGGCGUAACGAUUUGGGUACUGUCUCAGAAAGAGACUCGGUGAAAUAGAACUGACUGUGAAGAUGCGGUCAUCUCGCACUUGGACAGAAAGACCCUAUGAAGCUUUACUGUAAUUUGAUAUUGUUUUUGGAUUUUCCUUGCGCAGCAUAGGUGGGAGGCGAUGAACCUCUUUUUUGGAAGUAGGUGAGCCGUAAUAUGAGAUACCACUCUGGGAAGAUUAGAAGUCUAAUAGUAUACUAUAAUCUAGAUACUUGACAGUUUCAGAUGGGCAGUUUUACUGGGGCGGUAGCCUCCUAAAAAGUAACGGAGGCGUACAAAGGUUUUCUCAUUCUAGACGGAAAUUAGUUGUCGAGUGUAAAGGCAUAAGAAAGCUUGACUGUGAGACUUACAAGUCGAGCAGAGACGAAAGUCGGUCUUAGUGAUCCGACGGUUCUGAGUGGAAAGGCCGUCGCUCAACGGAUAAAAGUUACUCUAGGGAUAACAGGCUGAUCUCCCCCAAGAGUCCACAUCGACGGGGAGGUUUGGCACCUCGAUGUCGGCUCAUCGCAUCCUGGAGCGGUAGUACGUUCCAAGGGUUGGGCUGUUCGCCCAUUAAAGCGGUACGUGAGCUGGGUUCAGAACGUCGAGAGACAGUUCGGUCCAUAUCCGGUGUGAGUGUUGGAGUAUUGAAAAGAUCUUUCCUUAGUACGAGAGGACCGGGAAGGGCACACCUCUGAUCUGCCAGUUUUUGUGCCAACAAAAUACGCUGGGUAGUCACGUGUGGAGUGGAUAACUGCUGAAAACAUA
Molecule: ribosomal RNA, 1789 nt
Filed under: Colacium mucronatum
Lineage: Eukaryota; Euglenozoa; Euglenophyceae; Euglenales; Euglenaceae
Description: LSU rRNA
Rfam family: Bacterial large subunit ribosomal RNA
Source: RNAcentral